AGGAUGAACGCUGGCGGCGUGCCUAACACAUGCAAGUCGAGCGGUAAGGCCUCUUCGGAGGUACACGAGCGGCGGACGGCUGAGUAACGCGUAGGAAUCUACCCCAAACUGAGGGAUAAGCACCAGAAAUGGUGUCUAAUACCGCAUAUGCUCUUCGGAGUAAAGCUACGGCGGUUUGGGAGGAGCCUGCGUCCGAUUAGCUUGUUGGUAAGGUAAUGGCUUACCAAGGCGACGAUCGGUAGCUGGUCUGAGAGGAUGAUCAGCCAGACUGGGACUGAGAACGGCCCAGACUCCUACGGGAGGCAGCAGUGGGGAAUUUUCCACAAUGGGCGAAAGCCUGAUGGAGCAACGCCGCGUGCAGGAUGAAUGCCUUCGGGUUGUAAACUGCUUUUAUAUGUGAAGAUUAUGACGGUAGCAUAUGAAUAAGGAUCGGCUAACUCCGUGCCAGCAGCCGC
RNAcentral lists this ribosomal RNA (455 nucleotides) under uncultured bacterium. RNAcentral describes it as "SSU rRNA". It matches the Rfam family "Bacterial small subunit ribosomal RNA", at positions 26 to 518 of the family's 1533-position model. The record is from RNAcentral.